Molecule: ribosomal RNA, 465 nt
Filed under: uncultured bacterium
Lineage: Bacteria
Description: partial 16S ribosomal RNA
Rfam family: Bacterial small subunit ribosomal RNA
Source: RNAcentral
CCUACGGGAGGCAGCAGUGAGGAAUAUUGCGCAAUGGGCGAAAGCCUGACGCAGCGACGCCGCGUGAGGGAUGAAGGUCUUCGGAUCGUAAACCUCUGUCAGCAGGGAAGAACGGUCACUGUGCUAAUCAGCAGUGAAUUGACGGUACCUGCAAAGGAAGCACCGGCUAACUCCGUGCCAGCAGCCGCGGUAAUACGGAGGGUGCGAGCGUUAAGCGGAAUUACUGGGCGUAAAGCGCUCGUAGGCGGUAUGUCAAGUCAAGGGUGAAAUCCCCGCGCUCAACGUGGGAACUGCCUUUGAAACUGGCAAACUGGAGUGGGUGAGAGGAUAGUGGAAUUCCAGGUGUAGGAGUGAAAGCCGUAGAUAUCUGGAGGAACAUCAGUGGCGAAGGCGACUAUCUGGCACAUAACUGACGCUGAGGAGCGAAAGCGUGGGUAGCAAACAGGAUUAGAUACCCGGGUAGUC